Molecule: transfer RNA, 74 nt
Filed under: Gemmatimonadota bacterium
Lineage: Bacteria; Pseudomonadati; Gemmatimonadota
Also listed under: 2 other names
Description: Gemmatimonadetes bacterium (marine sediment metagenome) tRNA-Arg
Rfam family: tRNA
About the family: Transfer RNA (tRNA) molecules are approximately 80 nucleotides in length.
Source: RNAcentral
GGCCCUGUAGCUCAGUCGGAUAGAGCGGCGGUUUCCUAAACCGAAGGUCGGGGGUUCGAGUCCCUCCAGGGCCA